This 497-nucleotide ribosomal RNA is filed under the name uncultured bacterium. RNAcentral's name for it is "partial 16S ribosomal RNA". It matches the Rfam family "Bacterial small subunit ribosomal RNA", at positions 28 to 507 of the family's 1533-position model. The record is from RNAcentral.
GAUGAACGCUGGCGGCGUGCCUAAUACAUGCAAGUCGAGCGAACAGACGAUGCGCUUGCUUCUCUCACGUUAGCGGCGGACGUGCGAGUAACACGUGGAUACCCUACUUAUAUGACUGGUAUAACUUGGGGAAUCCGGAGCUAAUACCGUAUAAUAUCUUGAACCGCUUUGUUCAAUAUUAAAUGCCGGUUUUGUUGUCUCUUAUAGAUGGAUGCUCGCCGUAUUUGCUAGUUGGUAAGGUAACGGCUUACCAAGGGAAUGAUCCGUGACGGACCGGAGAGGGGAAUCGGCAACACUGGAACGGGGACACGGUCCGGACUCCUACGGGAGGCAGAAGAAGGGAAUCUUCGGCAAUGGGCGAAAGCUUGACGGAGCAAGGCGGCGUGGGUGAGGAAGGUCUUCGGAUCGAAAAACUCGUUUAUUAGGGAAGAACAGAUGUGUAAGGAACUAUGCACGUCUUGACGGUACCUAAUCAGAAAGCCACGGCUAACUACGUG